AAAAAGAGUAAUUUUUCUUUAAUAAUGCACUAAAUCAUCUCUCAUAAUGAAUUAAAUCAUUCUCUCAUUACAGUGGCAGAGCAAGAUCCAAAACCAGCUCUGGCACGAGCAGCAACUCAGUGCCACCAAAAUGGUGACCAUUGCUACAGCUUCCCACCACCAAAGAUCUGUAAGCUUUCACCAGAAAACUGCCCACUGGACACAGUUGCCCGUCGUACAAUGUCAUCGUAACAAGAGCAAAGGGUCCUUCUGACUUCCCAAGCCGUUCUGCAGCCCUCGGCCACCACCAGCUAUGGGAAGGUGCUGCUCUGCCAUGUGCCAGCCAGCACCGAAACAACUGCUCCGCUCUCAUCAGCUUUCUUAUGGACCAACUCAGCAUCACAUCUGCACAUUCACAGAGAUCAUUUCAUAGAAUCAUAGAAUCAUAGGAUUGUCUUGAGACAGAAGGGACCCUCAAAGGUCAUUUGGUCCAGCUCCCCAGUCUCCCCCUCUCCACUGACUCAUGAGCUUCCACACUUUGAGUAGCAAAAGCAAGUGAGUUGUUCACACUGACAGGGAAGGAGAACAACAUGUUCCCAGGUACUUCUCAUUCUAGGGAAGUGAUCCUGCCUCACAUCCAUCGCCCAGAAACACUUUGCUCUCAUGAUGUUCGUAAUGCUUGUUUCUAGAGUGCUUAAAGGCUUUAGGAAAGCACUGCUACCUGGGACAUACCCACACAAGAGUUAGCCAAAAGUUAAAAGCCAAAUAUGGCAGCAAGAGUAGAACUUUUGCACGAAAGCUUUGGUUUAUUAUUUGCAGAACAUCAGUGCAUAGAUGGAAAGGAACUGAAAAAUCGUUUGCAUUUUAUUAGCUGAACAGUUCUACUUUCCAAAACAAAUUGAGGUAUUCUCUCUUAAAUGCCAAGACCACUGAAGAAGAAGUUACUCUGUUUUCAAGCUACAGUGUAUUUCUAAAUGACACCAGGUGUUCCUCAGCCUCUUCAUUUUUCACUGUACUCUAGAAUUUUGUUUUCAGAAUGAAGAG
Molecule: long non-coding RNA, 1023 nt
Filed under: Numida meleagris (helmeted guineafowl)
Lineage: Eukaryota; Metazoa; Chordata; Aves; Galliformes; Numididae
Description: lncRNA (ENSNMEG00000010386.1)
Source: RNAcentral